Astatotilapia calliptera (eastern happy) is the source of this 796-nucleotide long non-coding RNA. The record is from Ensembl. NCBI's taxonomy places the organism in Eukaryota, Metazoa, Chordata, Actinopteri, Cichliformes, Cichlidae.
GGACGACUGAUCAAUGCUCCACUACCAAAAGGAAGCCAAGCCCUGCCACCCUUUACAACAAAACAAGGUGUGAUCACAUUGAUGCCACAAUGGACGACUGAUCAAUGCUCCACUACCUUUUUUUUUUUUUUUUUUACUUUGAUUUUUAUUAGGUUAUUUUAUCAUUGUGGACAUACAGUAAAGAAAAUAACAAACAGACAUACAAAUGGGUCUAUAAUUCUUGCAGUAUUCUUUGUUUUUUCCUUCUUUGGGUAAGAUUGUUAUAAUAGCUUCUCCCCAUGAUGGUGGAGCUAUUCCCUGAUUCAGAGUCCAGUUGAAGCAAGAUAGAAGAAGUGGCUUGAGUUCUUCUUUGAAAACUUUGUAACUUUGUAGGUGUGAUCACAUUGAUGCCACAAUGGACGACUGAUCAAUGCUCCACUACCUUUUUUUUUUUUUUUUUACUUUGAUUUUUAUUAGGUUAUUUUAUCAUUGUGGACAUACAGUAAAGAAAAUAACAAACAGACAUACAAAUGGGUCUAUAAUUCUUGCAGUAUUCUUUGUUUUUUCCUUCUUUGGGUAAGAUUGUUAUAAUAGCUUCUCCCCAUGAUGGUGGAGCUAUUCCCUGAUUCAGAGUCCAGUUGAAGCAAGAUAGAAGAAGUGGCUUGAGUUCUUCUUUGAAAACUUUGUAACUUUGUAGGUGUGAUCACAUUGAUGCCACAAUGGACGACUGAUCAAUGCUCCACUACCUUUUUUUUUUUUUUUUUACUUUGAUUUUUAUUAGGUUAUUUUAUCAUUGUGGACAUACAGUAAAGAAAAU